RNAcentral lists this ribosomal RNA (635 nucleotides) under uncultured Enterobacteriaceae bacterium. RNAcentral's name for it is "bacterial SSU rRNA". It matches the Rfam family "Bacterial small subunit ribosomal RNA", at positions 1 to 650 of the family's 1533-position model. The record is from RNAcentral. Lineage: Bacteria; Pseudomonadati; Pseudomonadota; Gammaproteobacteria; Enterobacterales; Enterobacteriaceae.
UCGGCUUAGAGUUUGAUCAUGGCUCAGAUUGAACGCUGGCGGCAGGCUUAACACAUGCAAGUCGAACGGUAGAAGAGCUUGCUCUUGACGAGUGGCGGACGGGUGAGUAAUGUAUGGGGAUCUGCCAAGUGGAAGGGGACAACAGUUGGAAACGACUGCUAAUACCGUAUAAUGUCGCGAGACCAAAGUGUUUAGACAUGCCAUUUGAUGAACCCAUAUGGGAUUAGCUAGUAGGUAGGGUAAAGGCCUACCUAGGCGACGAUCUCUAGCUGGUCUGAGAGGAUGACCAGCCACACUGGAACUGAGACACGGUCCAGACUCCUACGGGAGGCAGCAGUGGGGAAUAUUGCACAAUGGGGGAAACCCUGAUGCAGCCAUGCCGCGUGUAUGAAGAAGGCCUUAGGGUUGUAAAGUACUUUCGGUAAUGAGGAAGGUAACUAUUAACAUAGUUAAUUGACGUUAAUUACGGAAGAAGCACCGGCUAACUCCGUGCCAGCAGCCGCGGUAAUACGGAGGGUGCGAGCGUUAAUCGGAAUGACUGGGCGUAAAGGGCAUGUAGGCGGAUGAUUAAGUUAGGUGUGAAAGCCCCGGGCUCAACCUGGGAAUUGCACUUAAAACUGGUUAUCUAGAGUAUU